GGGAAUGUGGCUAAGUGGUAGAGUGCUUGCCUAGCAUGCAUGAAGCCCUGGGUUCAAUUCCUCAGUACCA
This 70-nucleotide transfer RNA is filed under the name Dipodomys ordii (Ord's kangaroo rat). It matches the Rfam family "tRNA". From Rfam's summary of the family: Transfer RNA (tRNA) molecules are approximately 80 nucleotides in length. Their secondary structure includes four short double-helical elements and three loops (D, anti-codon, and T loops). Lineage: Eukaryota; Metazoa; Chordata; Mammalia; Rodentia; Heteromyidae. The record is from Rfam by way of RNAcentral.